UACGAAGGGGGCUAGCGUUGUUCGGAUUUACUGGGCGUAAAGCGCACGUAGGCGGAUCGUUAAGUUGGGGGUGAAAUCCUGGAGCUCAACUCCAGAACUGCCUUCAAUACUGGCGAUCUAGAGUCCGGAAGAGGUGAGUGGAACUCCUAGUGUAGAGGUGGAAUUCGUAGAUAUUAGGAAGAACACCAGUGGCGAAGGCGGCUCACUGGUCCGGUACUGACGCUGAGACGCGAAAGCGUGGGGAGCAAACAGG
This 253-nucleotide ribosomal RNA is filed under the name uncultured bacterium. Its description in RNAcentral is "partial 16S ribosomal RNA". It matches the Rfam family "Bacterial small subunit ribosomal RNA", at positions 524 to 776 of the family's 1533-position model. The record is from RNAcentral.